AAGUCAUAACAAGGUUUCCGUAGGUGAACCUGCGGAAGGAUCAUUACACGUAUCCAAACGUUAACCCCCCUGUGAACCUUUAGUGUGCUCGUACCUUUGUCAGAGCGUGGCAAUCCCUACUGGCUGCCUAAGGAUGGAGCAGUCACGAUCGUUGGAAGCCGACACGGCCGACGACCGGGUCACCGGGCUCACGCGCGCCUGCGCUUAAUUGUGCGGCGACCAUAAAACUCGAACAACUGUUAACAAUGGAUACCUUGGUUCUC
Molecule: unclassified non-coding RNA, 263 nt
Filed under: fungal sp.
Lineage: Eukaryota; Fungi
Description: partial internal transcribed spacer region
Rfam family: Eukaryotic small subunit ribosomal RNA (bases 1-46)
Source: RNAcentral